This 77-nucleotide transfer RNA is filed under the name Anaerolineales bacterium. Its description in RNAcentral is "tRNA-Val". It matches the Rfam family "tRNA". From Rfam's summary of the family: Transfer RNA (tRNA) molecules are approximately 80 nucleotides in length. Their secondary structure includes four short double-helical elements and three loops (D, anti-codon, and T loops). The record is from RNAcentral. Lineage: Bacteria; Bacillati; Chloroflexota; Anaerolineae; Anaerolineales.
GGGCGGUUAGCUCAGUUGGUCAGAGCGCUUCCCUUACAAGGAAGAGGCCACAGGUUCGAAUCCUGUACCGCCCACCA